This 327-nucleotide long non-coding RNA is filed under the name Setaria viridis. RNAcentral describes it as "long non-coding RNA (SVIR_LNC010581)". Lineage: Eukaryota; Viridiplantae; Streptophyta; Magnoliopsida; Poales; Poaceae. The record is from RNAcentral.
AAAAACAUUUAGAAAUAAUAUAACUUUCCAAAUGAACCUUGAGCAACCCUAGAGUGACCCCACUUUCCUUGUGAAGUCUAAAUUGUAAAACCUUAAAUGUGUACACAAUCACCAUCAAAGUCAACCCCGAGUUUUAUACCACAACACACCUUACUUCAUGAAAAUAAUGAAAAUCUAGAACCUUGUUUAGGUGAAUGUGGUCGAAAUGCAAUUUACAUUUCAACAACAGUUCAUGUCUUGCAUACUGCAUUUGAAAGCAUGGAAAAUUGAACUACCUGCAUAUGCAUAUCGUGUAGAAGUUAAUAUUGCUGACAGAACCUAUGAGCU